GUGUCUACUUCGGCAGCACAUAUACUAAAACUGGAAGGAUACAGAAAAGAUUAGCAAGGCCCCUGCACAAGGACGACAUGCAAGUUCAUAAAGGCUUCCUUUUAUGU
Small nuclear RNA from Myodes glareolus (Bank vole), 107 nucleotides. The record is from RefSeq and is a predicted model, not a curated record. NCBI's taxonomy places the organism in Eukaryota, Metazoa, Chordata, Mammalia, Rodentia, Cricetidae.